AUUGGAUUUUAAUGAAUACCAUUUAUUUCUGCUUUCAUUAUUGCCUGCAAUGCUGUUAACUGGCCUGAAAAUUUUGGCCAAAUGUAUAAUGUUUCUUCCUUGGCCGUUUUCCUAAUUCAAAAGGAUGUCAAUAAUUAGAUGACUGCAGUGCUUGUAGUAUUAGUAGUGGAGAUAGCAGGGGGGGCGUGUCCAUUCAUAUUUGGUUCAACUGAAUAUUGACAGGUGCAAUAUUUUAUGUUCAUCAUUUAGAAAUUUUCAUGAAAGAGCUGUAUUAGAUUUCUUGAAGAUUGCAUCUUGAUUUUUGAUUUGACUACAAAGAGAGGCUAUGUCUUUGAUUUGACCACCAGGGGAAC
This 353-nucleotide unclassified non-coding RNA is filed under the name Hevea brasiliensis (rubber tree). The record is from RNAcentral. Lineage: Eukaryota; Viridiplantae; Streptophyta; Magnoliopsida; Malpighiales; Euphorbiaceae.